GAUGAACGCUGGCGGCGUGCUUAACACAUGCAAGUCGAACGGACAGACGAUGAUUUCAGUCUACUCACGUUAGCAACGGAUGGGUGAGUAACAGGUGGAUUACCUUGCUAUUAGACUUGGAUAACGUCGAGAAACCCGAGCUAAUACCGGGUAAUAUAUUGAGUCGCAUGGUUCAAUAGUUUAUUCCGUUUUUGAUGACACUGAUAGAUGGAUCCGCGCCGGAUUAGUUAGUUGGUAAGGUAACGGCUUAGCAAGGCAACCAUGGGUAGCCGAGCUGAGAGCGAGAACGCGCACACUGGCAGUGAGCGACGACCCAGACACGUAGGGGAGGCCGCGGCAGGGACUCUUACGCGAUGGGGGAAAGCUUGACGGAGCAACGCCGGGUGAGUGAUGAAGGUCUGCGGAUCGGAAAACGGUGUUCUGGGUGAAGACUAAAUGUGCUAGUAACGAUGCACGUAGUGACGGUACCUAAUUAAAAAGCCCCGGCUAACUACGUG
This 497-nucleotide ribosomal RNA is filed under the name uncultured bacterium. Its description in RNAcentral is "partial 16S ribosomal RNA". It matches the Rfam family "Bacterial small subunit ribosomal RNA", at positions 28 to 507 of the family's 1533-position model. The record is from RNAcentral.